CCAUCAACCAUGGGACUCCCUUUUGAUUUAAGGAGGCCAGAACAUCUAAAUAAGCGAACAACUUUCUGUGGAACGAGCAGACAGGAUGGAUUUCUGCAGUGUGCUGUUAUGCUUUGGGAAGGGAGGAAAGCAUCUGUUCUCUCGGAGCCCAGCCAAUGUGUCUAAGGUCUUGAAGACAGCAAGUUCAGAAAGUAGUGACUCUGCUGUAACCACAGCCGAGUGAAGAAGCUGUCAUCAUCAGGAUCCCGCUUCACAGUGUAAGCAUCCUUAUCCCCACAUGAAGAAAUAAUAUGGCAUUUGCCUGUCAACUGUGAGUCAGGCAGCGUCAUGUGGAGCGCUUAAAGAAAAUCACCAUCUCUGUCUCAGGGAUGAGCGGAGAGGUGAAAGAAGAUAAAGACACCUCCAAACAAGGAGUGAACUUUAUACAAGAAGAUGAUAAAGCCUGUGACGGGUGACAGACACAGUAAGGAAUUACUUCAGGAAGCACCUCAAUUAUGACUCACUACUUUAAAAAGACUUAAUUGCAAGUGAGUAAGCCAUAGUUGUGCAGGCGCCACUCAGGACGGCAACCCUCCCAUGGCCGAGCAUCGAUUUCAGAAAGUAAACACACACUUCUCUUGGGUUCUGUUCCUAUUGCUUUCUUAAAAAGGGAAAGCUUUGUUAAAAAGUGAAGGCUUUGUUAUUCACAGUAUCUUCACAUUGUCCAAAUAGACCUAGUAAGCAUAAGGGACAGACAUAUGGCCCACCUUUGGCAAAUCAAAUAGAAGACCCAAGGAGGUAAUGACUCAUCCGAGAUCUAAUUCUAGAAUGGGACCAUA
This 818-nucleotide long non-coding RNA is filed under the name Mus caroli (Ryukyu mouse). Its description in RNAcentral is "predicted gene, 37623 (MGP_CAROLIEiJ_G0002326.1)". The record is from RNAcentral. Lineage: Eukaryota; Metazoa; Chordata; Mammalia; Rodentia; Muridae.